UAGCCUGCCCAAUGAUUUAAUUUAAUGGCCGCAGUAUAUUGACUGUGCAAAGGUAGCGUAAUCAUUAGUUUUUUAAUUGAAAGCUUGUAUGAAAGGCUUGACGAGGUAAUUACUGUCUCUAUUUAAAAUUAUUAGAAUUUAACUUUUAAGUUAAAAGGCUUAAAUAAAAAUAAAAGACGAGAAGACCCUAUAGAUCUUUAUUUUUAAUUAGUUUAAGUUAUUUAAGUGUUAAUAAUUAAUUUAAUUUAAUUAUAUAUUUUAUUGGGGUAAUAUAAAGAUUUAAUAAAUUCUUUAUUAUUGAAACAUUAAUCUAUGAUUAAAUGAUCCGUAUUUAACGAUUGUAAGAUUAAGUUACCUUAGGGAUAACAGCGUAAUGUUUUUUGAGAGUUCAUAUCGACAAAAAAGAUUGCGACCUCGAUGUUGGAUUAAAAAUUAUUUUAGGUGUAGAAGCUU
Molecule: ribosomal RNA, 453 nt
Filed under: Pogonostoma elegans
Lineage: Eukaryota; Metazoa; Arthropoda; Insecta; Coleoptera; Carabidae
Description: 16S ribosomal RNA
Rfam family: Bacterial large subunit ribosomal RNA
Source: RNAcentral